This 459-nucleotide ribosomal RNA is filed under the name uncultured bacterium. RNAcentral describes it as "partial 16S ribosomal RNA". It matches the Rfam family "Bacterial small subunit ribosomal RNA", at positions 338 to 795 of the family's 1533-position model. The record is from RNAcentral.
CCUACGGGUGGCAGCAGUGAGGAAUAUUGGUCAAUGGCCGAGAGGCUGAACCAGCCAAGUCGCGUGAGGGCAGACUGCCCUACGGGUUGUAAACCUCUUUUGUCGGGGAGCAAAUCGAGUCACGUGUGACUCAUUGAGAGUACCCGAAGAAAAAGCAUCUGCUAACUCCGUGCCAGCAGCCGCGGUAAGAAGGAGGAUGAGAACGUUAUCCGGAUUUAUUUGUUUUAAAGGGUGCGCAGGCGGAGGUGCAAGUCAGCGGUCAAUGUGCGGGGCUCAACCCCGUACUGCCGUUGAAACUGCAUCACUUGAGUGCGCGAGAAGUAUGCGGAAUGCGUGGUGUAGCGGUGAAAUGCAUAGAUAUCACGCAGAACUACGAUUGCGAAGGCAGCAUAACGGCGCGCAACUGACGCUCAUGCACGAAAGCGUGGGUAUCGAACAGGAUUAGAUACCCUUGUAGUC